Homarus americanus (American lobster) is the source of this 325-nucleotide long non-coding RNA. RefSeq lists it as uncharacterized. Lineage: Eukaryota; Metazoa; Arthropoda; Malacostraca; Decapoda; Nephropidae. The transcript is spliced from 3 exons. The record is from RefSeq and is a predicted model, not a curated record.
UCUGUCCCUCUGCAGCAGUGCUAACCUCACCUGACUCCAGCACACAGUGUCCAGCAUACACUCGUUGAUCUACCACGAAGAUGGAGUGGAUAACUAGAGGGAUGAGUCUCUCCUUCCUGAUGCUUUCUCUCGUGUCUCUGUCAGUGCAGCAACAUGACUGGACAUAGACGCUUCUGUACAUUGACAAGAGAGGACAGUAGAAGUCAACAUUUCUAAUCCACGGAAUAAUUGACAGUAAAAUAUCACCAAAAUAUUUGUAACUAAACAUGAACCAUAAACAGAAUUUCCCUGUACUGAAUAAAAUAUUGGAUUUUUUGGAACACGA